CACCUUAAAAGCCAGCUUCUAAUUCAAUGACAGGAGUGGAUUAUUUUCAGUGCUUGGCAAAAGAAGAAAAAGACAGCAACCGAAAUGAAUCGAUUCCUUCAGCUUCAGAUCCUUCAGCUUGUGUUGCUGGUACAGUGUCAGGUGUUUGCUGCAUUGAUCAAGCCAGGUGGAUGCCCACGCGCACAAAAAGUACUAAACAUGUACUGCUCGGAUAAAAGGAGGACUUUGGAUCGCUUAACUGCAGACAUUGCAAACGGCAUAGAAACGUCCCAUGAUGAAAGCAUUCUUCUUCCCCAUGGAAUAUUUGACAGAGUCAGAGGGACAAGAUGGCACGGUUGUAUUUUGAAGGAAAUAAUUUUGUUUUACACAGGGGUAUUGAAAAACUACAAAGGCCACAAAACAUUCACUGACACAGUUCAAGAAGACGUAAUGCACACCAUUUAUUCACUGCAGCAAUGUUUUGAAGUGGAGAAGAUCCCCUGUGAAAAUCUAAAGAAGAUGCCAGUAAAUGAGACUCGCUGUGUGAACACAUUGACGCCACGUGAAGUGACAAAACUUCAGAUUCAGAAGCUUCAGCGUGCUAGACAUCAGAAGAAUGAUGUGAAGAUCCAAGAAAAGGCCAUUGUCGAACUUCAGGGGCUUUCUUGUUACUUCAGUGACAGGUCACACAUGGAAUUUUGCUUCACUUAAUUGUGAACAAACUUUGGCAAAAUGUGAGAACAAAAUGACAGUGAAAAAUCUCAACCUGUCACCAAGUAGGAAUGUGUAUUGAAGCUCUUUAAUGGAACACAUAAGAUAUACUUUUAAUAUAUAUACUUAUUAAAAUAAUAUCUAUUAAAACUUAUGAAAAAUACUCCAUGGAUAAUACUUAAUAAUACCUGGAGUAAUGAGAGUUGGACAAAUAUUUGAUCGGAUUCUGAGAUUUGUAUUGUGGUUGCAAACAGAUUUCGAGUGCCAGAGCUGACAGUGACCGGCCCAAAGGCUUUCUCUGUAAGAAAUCCCGUAAUCUGCAGUAAAGACUUGUGUUUUUUCUGCUUUGCAUCUCUUGCCUUUGGAACAUGUGUUUGCAAAGGCUUACAGAAGUAUUUGAGCAAAUGUGAAUUCUGCAUUUUUGGAGUUCACGGUGAUAUUUCUGUUCCUUUUUAGUAGAAUAUGAUUCGGUGUUUGUAACAUUAAGCUGUGUGUAUCAAUUUAACUUAUUAUGCUAUGUCUUAACUAGUUUAUCUGUCCUUGUCUAGAAAAAUAUAGUAAGUAGAUUUUAACAUUCAACUGUAAUAAAAAAACAUUAAUCCUCUUGAAAAGUGAGACAAAAGACAGUAUUACUGUACAUUGCUUGUAAAACGAGAAACAAGUUUGUACUGGUUACAUUAUUUUGUAUUUUCUAAUAUGCUCUUUAAUAAUGUUCGGCAUGAACUAAGCAGUAAGAGUCACAAUGUGAUUAUAUUGCAAAACUAAUUGUAAAGUAGCUUUACUUCAAAAUAGCCAAAUGAAAAAAAUAAUUUUGAUGCUAUAUCUUACAAAGAAGCACGCUUGUAAUUGCUUGUAGUAGCUAAUGUACAGUACUUUCAAUGAAAGUUAGGCUCUCAAUUUUUUCUAUGUAAUCCGUUUUCCAAUGUAACGAAUCAAACGCAAAACAUUUUUAAUGCAAAGUUUGAAUUGCAAGCUAUUUAUUUUGAGAAACUCUCAAAGGAAUGUUAACUUUAUCAGCCACGCUUGAAAUUUUGUUACAAUGCAAGUGAAGAUUAAAGCUAACUAAAAUCAAAGAAGAUAAUGUGUGUUGUUUUCUGUAGUGGGCACAAUUCAGCCCUUUUCUACGCAUCAGUUCUUUUUAAUUUAAUGGACUGUCAAACGUCAUGAAUUACAUGAACAGCUAUAUCCAUUGAGUACUGGAAAUGGUACAUUUUUCAUUAAAAAUUUCAGUCAAAGAAUGUAGCUUCAAUACAACCCACUAAAGGUCAUUAAAGGUACAUGCCAAUUUAGGUUCAGCAGCCUAAGACAAACUCCUAAUAUUUCAGUGGUUGAGGCAUCUGAGAGGUAGAUCUGGCCUUGGCCUACCUGAGGAGGACGAGGCUACUGGAACCUCUGCCCACGAAGACUGGAUGAAAUGAGUCAGACGGCCGCUCAGUAGCUGGGGAGACUGGGGGACGACGUCUGUGAAGGGGGGGCUUGUGAGCUGUAUGUGUGUGCAGGCAGGUCAACGGUCUAUUCUUGUUCUGUCUUCCUAACCAGUGUUCCAAACCUUGUUUAGUAGUUAAUUCCUAACAAGUAACAGCUAUUUUUCACUACAUGUACCUCAUGUAAAAUAUCCCCUUAAAGUUUCAAAUCAUUUCCUGCCCCCUGUGUAGACUACAGAAAAUUCAGAGCAGCCCUAGUGUUAGGAAUGAUAUCAUCACAGAUGACAGAAUCUUUGCCAAAAUCCAGCA
This 2423-nucleotide long non-coding RNA is filed under the name Lepisosteus oculatus (spotted gar). Its description in RNAcentral is "lncRNA (ENSLOCG00000023319.1)". The record is from RNAcentral. Lineage: Eukaryota; Metazoa; Chordata; Actinopteri; Semionotiformes; Lepisosteidae.